This is a long non-coding RNA of Sapajus apella (tufted capuchin), 103 nucleotides long. RefSeq lists it as uncharacterized. NCBI's taxonomy places the organism in Eukaryota, Metazoa, Chordata, Mammalia, Primates, Cebidae. The record is from RefSeq and is a predicted model, not a curated record. The transcript has 3 exons.
AAAAUAGGUCAAUAGCAUUCUAACCAGAGUGACUUCAUCAUGAACAGAGGCUGCGUAAAAUAAGGCUGAGACCUGCUGGGCUGCAUUCCCAGGAGGAUAGGCA